UGGGGAAUAUUGGACAAUGGGCGAAAGCCUGAUCCAGCCAUGCCGCGUGCAGGAUGAAGGCGUUAUGCGUUGUAAACUGCUUUUUAUAUAGGAAGAAAUAGUCCUUGCGAGGAAAGUUGACGGUACUAUAUGAAUAAGCACCGGCUAACUCCGUGCCAGCAGCCGCGGUAAUACGGAGGGUGCAAGCGUUGUCCGGAUUUAUUGGGUUUAAAGGGUGCGUAGGCGGCCCUGUAAGUCAGUGGUGAAAUAUCUCAGCUUAACUGAGAGGGUGCCAUUGAUACUGCAGGGCUUGAGUACAGAUGAGGUAGGCGGAAUUGACGGUGUAGCGGUGAAAUGCAUAGAUAUCGUCAAGAACACCGAUAGCGAAGGCAGCUUACCAAGCUGUAACUGACACUGAGGCACGAAAGUGUGGGGAUCAAACAGGAUUAGAUACCCAGGUAGUCCCUGAGCGGGCUGGCAAGGCGCAU
Molecule: ribosomal RNA, 467 nt
Filed under: uncultured bacterium
Lineage: Bacteria
Description: bacterial SSU rRNA
Rfam family: Bacterial small subunit ribosomal RNA
Source: RNAcentral